RNAcentral lists this long non-coding RNA (1298 nucleotides) under Macaca mulatta (Rhesus monkey). RNAcentral's name for it is "lncRNA (ENSMMUG00000060579.1)". Lineage: Eukaryota; Metazoa; Chordata; Mammalia; Primates; Cercopithecidae. The record is from RNAcentral.
CAGAGGCAGGGGAGACUCGGGGCCCAGCUGUCAGGCGCAAGGACAGAGGUCGGCGCGGGGUCUCCCCGGAGCAGGAGGGAGCAGCGGGUGACAGGUGCAGCCGCGCCAUCCCCAGGCAUCCCGGAACCUGGCCUGGAGGCUGCUGUGGGAUCCGCAGCCCUGCGCGCUGGGGAGGCGCUGCAAUGACCCGGCGGCGGCGCCUUCUCCCAGGUCCCCAAAUAGAAACAGCCCCAGUGCCCUCUCUCCGACCCCACCAGGGCCGCUACCGCGCUCCUCCUUACUCAGACCAGGCUCUACCGACUCCGCAACAGCUGCUCACCCCGCUUGAGAUGCAAAAGGUUCUGAUCCACUAAAGAGAAAGGAAACGACCUUUACACCCCCUUUAGCAAGAAAUCUUCUGCUCCUGUAGGAAGGUCCACCUGAAAACAGAGGGCCCAUAACACUCGUUGGGAAGCGCCGAUAGACACCCCAGAGUCUCCUCAUCCCACUUCCUAGUAGCUCCCUGGCACCGUUGUUUGAUGAUAGCUUGUUGAAACGGAUGCCUGUUGAAAUGGCGAAGGUGAACAGUGUGAGGUGUCAAGAGAAACAUAUGACUAACAAUAAAGAUAAGCUCACAAAUUAUAUAUUCUUUUGCAAAGUGAAUUGGAGCUAGCUAAAAUGUACCCCUCUAUUUUUGUCAUUCUCCUUUGUGUUCAAGAGAGAGAACAGGGAGGAAUUGCUGCUUGUGUGUUGGGAAUUUCACAGAAUCUUGGGCAUCCCCACGAGAGUGAUUGCUCAUGUAAGCGGCAUCCAUUUUUAUGAAUCAGCAAAAAAAAAAAAAGAAAAAGAAAAAGAUUGAAGGCUGCUGGCUUAGCUACCUACGGACAGUAGUGCGGAGGGACUCAGAGGAAAUGGAGGACGUUGCUCAUGUGUUUGCAAAGCUUGCAAUUUUGUGAUCUUAUUAAAAUAAAGCUAUUGUUUACAUUUUAUCCAGAUGUAUAGACAGAGGCCAAUGUAUUGGGAGCAUUUCCUCUACCUGUGGGGUGCUGAGUUUAUAGAUUUACAUUAGUUUUUUUCAGCUAUCACCCCCUCUUGUAACCUUCCUUCCUCCUGCAUCAUCUCACAAAGAGCAGUGGCUAUCAUCAAAGUUAUUGAUUUAUGCCUCAAGCAGGCAGGAAGUUGAACAAAGCAGCCUGAGAAAGCAGCAGAGGCAGCUGCUUACCCAGAAGGACUUGUGGGGAGGAAUCUACUGGCAUAAAACUUAUUUGCCCCCGCUGGCCUCAGAUGAGAACAGUAUCAACGACAAUAAUAAUAGCAGC